UGACAGAAUGGUCUGGGCUGCUUC
Molecule: non-coding RNA, 24 nt
Filed under: Arabidopsis thaliana (thale cress)
Lineage: Eukaryota; Viridiplantae; Streptophyta; Magnoliopsida; Brassicales; Brassicaceae
Source: RNAcentral